AGGGAGACCUUACCCCCAUUAUCUUGAACGCCUAGUGCGAGUCGAGAGAUGGCUGGUCAUCUCAAGGUCGGUCGAAGAUUAAGUGUGGCUUCUAAACUAUCAAGGUUCGGGUUAUGGGCUAUUAGCUCAGGUGGUUAGAGCGCACCCCUGAUAAGGGUGAGGUCCCUGGUUCGAGUCCAGGAUGGCCCACCUUACGACAAGUUUGGGGGUUUAGCUCAGUUGGUAGAGCGCCUGCUUUGCAAGCAGGAUGUCAGCGGUUCGAGUCCGCUAACCUCCACUGAGGAGAUUUCAGCAACAGUUUUAGUUUAGUGAAUCUAAACUGCCUGCUGGAAGUAAUUCCAGUAAGAACCAUGAAAACUGCAUAGUGAUAAGCAAUUAAGUCAGGUAGAAGUUCAUUUUUAAUGCGUCUUCUUUGUUGAAGCGAUGAAAUGAACCUUCAUAGACACCAAUGAUUUUGAAGUUAGUGGUCAAGCUAACAAGGGCAGAUGGUGGAUACCUAGGCACACAGAGA
This 511-nucleotide transfer RNA is filed under the name Pseudophormidium sp. P52. RNAcentral describes it as "partial contains 16S ribosomal RNA, 16S-23S ribosomal RNA intergenic spacer, and 23S ribosomal RNA". The stretch from base 205 to 277 matches the Rfam family "tRNA". The record is from RNAcentral. Lineage: Bacteria; Bacillati; Cyanobacteriota; Cyanophyceae; Leptolyngbyales; Leptolyngbyaceae.